GGCGCACGGGUGCGUAACGCGUAUCAAACCUGCCGCAUACUCCGGGAUAGCCUUGCGAAAGUAAGGUUAAUACCGGAUGUUGUUGUUGACCCGCAUGGAUUGACAACCAAAGAUUUAUCGGUAUGCGAUGGUGAUGCGUCUGAUUAGGUAGUUGGUAGGGUAACGGCCUACCAAGCCUUCGAUCAGUAGGGGUUCUGAGAGGAAGGUCCCCCACACUGGAACUGAGACACGGUCCAGACUCCUACGGGAGGCAGCAGUGAGGAAUAUUGGUCAAUGGACGAAAGUCUGAACCAGCCAAGUAGCGUGCAGGAUGACGGCCCUCCGGGUUGUAAACUGCUUUUAGUUGGGAAUAAUGCCGGGGACGUGUCCCUGUGUUGAAUGUACCAUCAGAAAAAGGACCGGCUAAUUCCGUGCCAGCAGCCGCGGUAAUACGGAAGGUUCGGGCGUUAUCCGGAUUUAUUUUUUUUAAAGGGAGCGCACCCGGAUUAUUAAGUCAGCGGUUAAAGGGUGUGGCUCAACCAUACAUUGCCGUUGAAACUGGUAGUCUUGAGUGCACACAGGGAUGCUGGAACUCGUGGUGUAGCGGUGAAAUGCUUAGAUAUCACGAUGAACUCCGAUCGCGAAGGCAGGUGUCCGGGGUGC
This 642-nucleotide ribosomal RNA is filed under the name uncultured Bacteroides sp. Its description in RNAcentral is "bacterial SSU rRNA". It matches the Rfam family "Bacterial small subunit ribosomal RNA", at positions 97 to 737 of the family's 1533-position model. The record is from RNAcentral. Lineage: Bacteria; Pseudomonadati; Bacteroidota; Bacteroidia; Bacteroidales; Bacteroidaceae.